Molecule: non-coding RNA, 1079 nt
Organism: Oncorhynchus mykiss (rainbow trout)
Lineage: Eukaryota; Metazoa; Chordata; Actinopteri; Salmoniformes; Salmonidae
Source: RefSeq, a predicted model, not a curated record
GGUGCACCUGUGUAAUGAUCGUGCUGUUAAAUCAGCUUCUUGAUAUGCCACACCUGUCAGGUGGAUGGAUUAUCUUGGCAAAGCAGAAAUGCUCACUAACGGGGAUGAAAACAAAGAGAGAGAAUAAGCUUUUCGUGCGUAUGGAAAAUCUUAGGGAUCUUUUUAUUUCAGCUCAUGAAACAUGGGACCAACACUUUACAUGUUGUGUUUAUAUUUUUGUUCAGUUUAGUUAGUAUAGCUACUGUAACUAGUAUACUAGUUAGUUAGUGUAGCUACUGUAACUAGUAUACUACUUAGUUAGUGUAGCUACUGUAACUAGUAUACUAGUUAGUUAGUGUAGCUACUGUAACAAGUAUACUAGUUAGUUAGUGUAGCUACUGUAACAAGUAUACUAGUUAGUCAUCACUGAUGAACACUACUCACACAGAUGUUAUUAUUGAUCACUAAACUGUUGGAUGUUAUGUGUGCUUAUAACCCAGUUCCACAGAAAGAGUCAGUGUAGUAGUGUGUAGGCGAAAAUGUGUGUGUGUGUGUGUGUCAUAUUUCAUCUGGAGACACUAACCCUUCUUCAACUUAAGAGGCUCUACGUCUGGGGCGGUACUGAUUUUUUUUUUUUUUUAGUUUUUAAAAACUUCAUCUCAUUCCUUUGCUUUAGUAAUGUAAUUUUAAUUUAUAUGAAUUGUACGAAUGUUACGAUUCACAUUCCUGAAUGUUUUAAGUGAAAAGGAAAAUGGAAUCUUGUCAUUGUGUUUUUAUUGUCUGAAGUUUUGGAAACACUGGAGAAGUAACAGAGCUGUAGUAUGGCUGUAUGUCUGAGUCCAAAAUGGGACCCUAUCGCCUAUGUACUGCUUUACAUAUGACCGGCUCCCAUCCCAUAGGGACAACAAGUAGUGCACUGUAUAGGGAAUACAGCCAUUUAGGACAGAGUCCUAUGGGUUUUUCAAGUAGGCCUAAGACCAAGUCUAGUACAGCACAGGUACAGAGUUGUGAAUUAGAGGAGCUAGGCUACCUCACUGUUUGGUGUUUUCACAUGUCAUUUGUCAUUGAUCAAAACGAGAAUAUUAAAGUGUUGACAGAUA